CGACGGGUAUCCGGCCUGAGAGGGUGUACGGACACAUUGGGACUGAGAUACGGCCCAGACUCCUACGGGAGGCAGCAGUGGGGAAUAUUGCACAAUGGGCGCAAGCCUGAUGCAGCGACGCCGCGUGGGGGAUGAAGGCCUUCGGGUUGUAAACUCCUUUCGCUAUCGACGAAGCCUUCGGGUGACGGUAGGUAGAUAAGAAGCACCGGCUAACUACGUGCCAGCAGCCGCGGUAAUACAA
This 241-nucleotide ribosomal RNA is filed under the name uncultured bacterium. RNAcentral's name for it is "partial 16S ribosomal RNA". It matches the Rfam family "Bacterial small subunit ribosomal RNA", at positions 277 to 528 of the family's 1533-position model. The record is from RNAcentral.